AGAGUUGAUCAUGGCUCAGGAUGAACGCUAGCUACAGGCUUAACACAUGCAAGUCGAGGGUAGCAGGGUAGCAAUACCGCUGACGACCGGCGCACGGGUGAGUAACACGUAUCCAACCUUCCCAUAACUCAGGGAUAGCCUUUCGAAAGAAAGAUUAAUACCUGAUAGUACUUUUUCAAGGCAUCUUGAAAAAGUUAAAGAUUUAUUGGUUAUGGAUGGGGAUGCGUUCCAUUAGAUAGUUGGUGAGGUAACGGCUCACCAAGUCUUCGAUGGAUAGGGGUUCUGAGAGGAAGGUCCCCCACAUUGGUACUGAGACACGGACCAAACUCCUACGGGAGGCAGCAGUGAGGAAUAUUGGUCAAUGGGCGAGAGCCUGAACCAGCCAAGUAGCGUGAAGGAUGAAAGGUCCUAUGGAUUGUAAACUUCUUUUAUAGUAGAAUAAAGUGAUCCACGUGUGGAUUUUUGUAUGUAUACUAUGAAUAAGGAUCGGCUAACUCCGUGCCAGCAGCUGC
This 512-nucleotide ribosomal RNA is filed under the name uncultured bacterium. RNAcentral's name for it is "bacterial SSU rRNA". It matches the Rfam family "Bacterial small subunit ribosomal RNA", at positions 8 to 518 of the family's 1533-position model. The record is from RNAcentral.